AGCGAACGUUUGCGGCGGGCCUAACACAUGCAAGUCGAACGGGCAGGGGCAACCCUGUCAGUGGCGCACGGGUGCGUAACACGUGGGUAAUCAACCCUUUGGACUGGGACAACCCGGGGAAACUCGGGCUAAUACCGGAUGUGGCGUGGCGGUCCUCGGACUGCUCCGCGAAAGCUCCGCAAGGGGCACCAGAGGACGAGCCCGCGUCCCAUCAGCUAGUUGGUGAGGUAAUGGCUCACCAAGGCGAAGACGGGUAGCUGGUCUGAGAGGAUGAUCAGCCACACUGGGACUGAGACACGGCCCAGACUCCUACGGGAGGCAGCAGUGGGGAAUAUUGGACAAUGGGCGAAAGCCUGAUCCAGCAAUGCCGCGUGAGUGAUGAAGGCCUUAGGGUUGUAAAGCUCUUUUACCAGGGAUGAUAAUGACAGUACCUGGAGAAUAAGCUCCGGCUAACUCCGUG
Molecule: ribosomal RNA, 460 nt
Filed under: uncultured bacterium
Lineage: Bacteria
Description: bacterial SSU rRNA
Rfam family: Bacterial small subunit ribosomal RNA
Source: RNAcentral